Molecule: ribosomal RNA, 505 nt
Filed under: uncultured bacterium
Lineage: Bacteria
Description: partial 16S ribosomal RNA
Rfam family: Bacterial small subunit ribosomal RNA
Source: RNAcentral
GACGAACGCUGGCGGCGUGCCUAAUACAUGCAAGUAGAACGCACAGUUUAUACCGUAGCUUGCUACACCAUAGACUGUGAGUUGCGAACGGGUGAGUAACGCGUAGGUAACCUGCCUGGUAGCGGGGGAUAACUAUUGGAAACGAUAGCUAAUACCGCAUAAUAUUAAUUAUUGCAUGAUAAUUAAUUGAAAGGUGCAAUUGCACCACUACCAGAUGGACCUGCGUUGUAUUAGCUAGUAGGUGAGGUAACGGCUCACCUAGGCGACGAUACAUAGCCGACCUGAGAGGGUGAUCGGCCACACUGGGACUGAGACACGGCCCAGACUCCUACGGGAGGCAGCAGUAGGGAAUCUUCGGCAAUGGACGAAAGUCUGACCGAGCAACGCCGCGUGAGUGAAGAAGGUUUUCGGAUCGUAAAGCUCUGUUGUAAGAGAAGGACGGGUGUGAGAGUGGAAAGUUCACACUGUGACGGUAUCUUACCAGAAAGAGACGGCUAACUACGUG